RNAcentral lists this transfer RNA (116 nucleotides) under Sordaria macrospora k-hell. It matches the Rfam family "tRNA". From Rfam's summary of the family: Transfer RNA (tRNA) molecules are approximately 80 nucleotides in length. Their secondary structure includes four short double-helical elements and three loops (D, anti-codon, and T loops). Further hydrogen bonds mediate the characteristic L-shaped molecular structure. tRNAs have two regions of fundamental functional importance: the anti-codon, which is responsible for specific mRNA codon recognition, and the 3' end, to which the tRNAs corresponding amino acid is attached (by aminoacyl-tRNA synthetases). tRNAs cope with the degeneracy of the genetic code in two manners: having more than one tRNA (with a specific anti-codon) for a particular amino acid; and 'wobble' base-pairing, i.e. permitting non-standard base-pairing at the 3rd anti-codon position. The record is from Rfam by way of RNAcentral. Lineage: Eukaryota; Fungi; Ascomycota; Sordariomycetes; Sordariales; Sordariaceae. RNAcentral also lists the same sequence under 1 other name.
GGCUGGAUGGCCGAGCGGUCUAAGGCGCUAGACUCAAGAACCAAGUUCUUCUUCAUCAUAUGGUGAGGUGCUUUCUAGUAUCGAAAGAUGCGUGGGUUCGAAUCCCACUCCAGUCA